This 68-nucleotide transfer RNA is filed under the name Marmota monax (woodchuck). RNAcentral's name for it is "tRNA.Ala". The record is from RNAcentral. Lineage: Eukaryota; Metazoa; Chordata; Mammalia; Rodentia; Sciuridae.
GUUGUGGCUCAGUGGUAGAGUGCUUGCCUAGCCUGUGUGAGGCACUGGGUUCAAUUCUCAGCACCACA